RNAcentral lists this ribosomal RNA (250 nucleotides) under uncultured prokaryote. RNAcentral describes it as "partial 16S rRNA". It matches the Rfam family "Bacterial small subunit ribosomal RNA", at positions 525 to 775 of the family's 1533-position model. The record is from RNAcentral.
ACGUAGGGGGCAAGCGUUAUCCGGAAUUAUUGGGCGUAAAGAGCGCGCAGGCGGUUCUUCAAGUGAGAGGUGAAAGGUCAUAGCUUAACUCGUGUAAGCGUUGCGAACUGGAAGACUUGAGUGCUGGAGAGGAAAGUGGAAUUCCUAGUGUAGCGGUGAAAUGCGUAGAUAUUAGGAGGAACACCAGUGGCGAAGGCGACUUGCUGGACUGUAACUGACACUGAGGCGCGAAAGCGUGGGGAGCAAACAG